UCGGACGUGGUGUAUGGAACACAGCGAGCUCAUUUAAAUAGUGAUGUUGAGAAUACUACUUGCAGUCCGGGGUUCGACUCCUCGCGUCCGAA
Molecule: non-coding RNA, 92 nt
Organism: Mycena epipterygia
Lineage: Eukaryota; Fungi; Basidiomycota; Agaricomycetes; Agaricales; Mycenaceae
Source: the annotation of a GenBank genome assembly